UACGGGAGGCAGCAGUGGGGAAGUAUUGCACAAUGGGCGCAAGCCUGAUGCAGCCACUGCCGCCGUGUAUGAAGAAAGGCCUUCGGGUUGUAAAGUACUUUCAGUCGUGAGGAAGGUGUUAAGGUUAAUAACCUUAGCAAUUGACGUUAGCGACAGAAGAAGCACCGGCUAACUCCGUGCCAGCAGCCGCGGUAAUACGGAGGGUGCGAGCGUUAAUCGGAAUUACUGGGCGUAAAGGGCACGCAGGCGGUUAAUUAAGUUGGAUGUGAAAUCCCCGGGCUUAACCUGGGAAUGGCAUUCAAGACUGGUUAGCUAGAGUCUUGUAGAGGGGGUAGAAUUCCAUGUGUAGCGGUGAAAUGCGUAGAGAUGUGGAGGAAUACCGGUGGCGAAGGCGGCCCCUGGGACAAAGACUGACGCUCAUGUGCGAAAGCGUGGGGAGCAAACAGGGA
This 449-nucleotide ribosomal RNA is filed under the name uncultured bacterium. RNAcentral describes it as "bacterial SSU rRNA". It matches the Rfam family "Bacterial small subunit ribosomal RNA", at positions 340 to 778 of the family's 1533-position model. The record is from RNAcentral.